GCUAAGAUAGUUAAAUGAAUAACUAAACUUUGAAGAAGUUUUAUUGGGUGUUAAAUUCUCUCUCUUAGCA
Molecule: transfer RNA, 70 nt
Filed under: Ophiura sarsii
Lineage: Eukaryota; Metazoa; Echinodermata; Ophiuroidea; Amphilepidida; Ophiuridae
Description: tRNA-Phe
Rfam family: tRNA
About the family: Transfer RNA (tRNA) molecules are approximately 80 nucleotides in length. Their secondary structure includes four short double-helical elements and three loops (D, anti-codon, and T loops). Further hydrogen bonds mediate the characteristic L-shaped molecular structure. tRNAs have two regions of fundamental functional importance: the anti-codon, which is responsible for specific mRNA codon recognition, and the 3' end, to which the tRNAs corresponding amino acid is attached (by aminoacyl-tRNA synthetases). tRNAs cope with the degeneracy of the genetic code in two manners: having more than one tRNA (with a specific anti-codon) for a particular amino acid; and 'wobble' base-pairing, i.e. permitting non-standard base-pairing at the 3rd anti-codon position.
Source: RNAcentral